UCAUCACACCAGUGAGUGCCAC
This 22-nucleotide non-coding RNA is filed under the name Arabidopsis thaliana (thale cress). Lineage: Eukaryota; Viridiplantae; Streptophyta; Magnoliopsida; Brassicales; Brassicaceae. The record is from RNAcentral.